UGGGGAAUAUUGCACAAUGGGCGCAAGCCUGAUGCAGCGACGCCGCGUGAGGGAUGGAGGCCUUCGGGUUGUAAACCUCUUUCGCCAGUGAAGCAGGCCAUCUUCUUUGUGGGGUGGUUGACGGUAGCUGGAUAAGCAGCGCCGGCUAACUACGUGCCAGCAGCCGCGGUAAUACGUAGGGCGCGAGCGUUGUCCGGAAUUAUUGGGCGUAAAGAGCUCGUAGGCGGCUGGUCGCGUCUGUCGUGAAAUCCCCUGGCUUAACUGGGGGCUUGCGGUGGGUACGGGCCGGCUUGAGUGCGGUAGGGGAGACUGGAAUUCCUGGUGUAGCGGUGGAAUGCGCAGAUAUCAGGAAGAACACCGGUGGCGAAGGCGGGUCUCUGGGCCGUUACUGACGCUGAGGAGCGAAAGCGUGGGGAGCGAACAGG
RNAcentral lists this ribosomal RNA (425 nucleotides) under bacterium. RNAcentral's name for it is "partial 16S ribosomal RNA". It matches the Rfam family "Bacterial small subunit ribosomal RNA", at positions 355 to 776 of the family's 1533-position model. The record is from RNAcentral.